UCCCAGUUCAGAUUGCAGGCUGCAACUCGCCUGCAUGAAGUCGGAAUUGCUAGUAAUCGUGGAUCAGCAUGCCACGGUGAAUACGUUCCCGGGCCUUGUACACACCGCCCGUCACACCAUGGGAGUCGGUAACACCCGAAGCCUGUAGUCUAACCGCAAGGAGGACGCAGUCGAAGGCGGGAUUGAUGACUGGGGUGAAGUCGUAACAAGGUAAC
This 215-nucleotide ribosomal RNA is filed under the name uncultured bacterium. RNAcentral describes it as "partial 16S ribosomal RNA". It matches the Rfam family "Bacterial small subunit ribosomal RNA", at positions 1286 to 1500 of the family's 1533-position model. The record is from RNAcentral.